UGGGGAAUAUUGGACAAUGGGCGAAAGCCUGAUCCAGCCAUGCCGCGUGUGUGAAGAAGGCCUUUUGGUUGUAAAGCACUUUAAGCGAGGAGGAGGCUACUUAGAUUAAUACUCUAGGAUAGUGGACGUUACUCGCAGAAUAAGCACCGGCUAACUCUGUGCCAGCAGCCGCGGUAAUACAGAGGGUGCGAGCGUUAAUCGGAUUUACUGGGCGUAAAGCGUGCGUAGGCGGCUUUUUAAGUCGGAUGUGAAAUCCCUGAGCUUAACUUAGGAAUUGCAUUCGAUACUGGGAAGCUAGAGUAUGGGAGAGGAUGGUAGAAUGCCAGGUGUAGCGGUGAAAUGCGUAGAGAUCUGGAGGAAUACCGAUGGCGAAGGCAGCCAUCUGGCCUAAUACUGACGCUGAGGUACGAAAGCAUGGGGAGCAAACAGG
Molecule: ribosomal RNA, 430 nt
Filed under: Actinomycetes bacterium
Lineage: Bacteria; Bacillati; Actinomycetota; Actinomycetes
Description: Actinobacteria bacterium partial 16S ribosomal RNA
Rfam family: Bacterial small subunit ribosomal RNA
Source: RNAcentral